AAUCCUAACACUAUUUUUGGUAUCCAUUUUGGUUGCUAGCUUCCUCCCCCUACUGCCAUGGCGGCCAUGAUAAUCAAGUCAAAGCAAUGCCUACGUCUCACCUCCCACCUCAUCUCUCCUCUCUCAACACUCACCUCUCCAGCCCUACAAACUCUCGAAGAACCCGAAUUAAUCAAACCCAUCCUCCAUCUCUCCCCAUCCGAAACCCUAAUUUCAGACCAACUCCACUCCCUAAUCAAAACCCACCACCGCAACAACCCCAACCCCACCUCCAAUCUCUCUCUCCCCACUCUCUCCUUCGAUCUCUCCCAAAUCUCUCCCACCUCUCUCUCUCCCAACGUCGUUCGCCACGUCAUCCAGAAAUGCGGGUCCCCCCGCCACGGUAUCCCCUUUACCCAGACUCUCGCGUUCUUUAAUUGGGCUAAUAAGUUAGUUAAAUGUAGUGAUGCUUAUAAUGAUAUGAUUGACCUUUGUGGAAAAGUGCGCGCAUUUGAUGUGGCGUGGGGUUUGAUUGAUGAUAUGAAGGAGAAUGGAAUUGAGGUGUCGAAUUCGACGUUUUCGGUUUUGAUUAGGCGGUAUGUGAGGGCGGGCUUGGCUAGUGAGGCGAUUCUUGCGUUUAAUAGAAUGGGGGAGUAUGGGUGUGUGGCUGAUAAGAUUGCGUUUACUAAUGUUGUUUCGGUUCUUUGUAAGAAGAGGAGGGCGGUUGAGGCUCAAGAGUUUUUUGAUGGGUUGAAGGGGAAGUUUGAGGCGGAUGUUGUGGUGUAUACUAGUUUGGUUAAUGGGUGGUGCAGGGCGGGGAAUAUUUCAGAGGCGGAAAGGGUGUUUAGUGAGAUGAAGGAGGUUGGGAUUCAGCCGAAUGUUUAUACUUAUAGUAUUGUUAUUGAUGCGUUGUGUCGGUGUGGGCAGAUUACGCGAGCUCAUGAUGUGUUUGCGGAGAUGAUUGAUGCGGGAUGUCAGCCGAAUGCUAUUACAUUUAAUAAUUUGAUGCGGGUGCAUGUCAAGGCUGGACGGACAGAGAAGGUUUUGCAGGUGUAUAAUCAGAUGAGGAAGCUAUCUUGUGCUGCCGAUACUGUUACUUAUAAUUUUCUUAUAGAGAGUCAUUGUAGGGAUGAGAAUCGGGAUGAGGCUGUUAAGGUUAUCAAUACAAUGGUCAGAAAAGGGUGUGAGGCAAAUGCUUCUACAUUUAACCCGAUAUUUAGGUGUAUUUUGAAAGCAGGGGAUGUUAAUUCUGCUCACAGGUUGUUUGCGAGGAUGAAAGAGAUAAAGUGUAAGCCUAAUACAGUGACAUACAAUAUACUGAUGAGGAUGUUUGCUGAUUCUAAGUCUGCUGACAUGGUUAUCAAGCUUAAAGAAGAGAUGGACGAGGGUGAGAUUGAGCCUAAUGUGAAUACUUACAGGAUUCUGAUAUCCCUAUAUUGUGGGAUGGGACACUGGAAUAAUGCUUACAAGUUUUUCAGAGAAAUGAUGGAAGAAAAAUGCUUGAAGCCUAGUGAGGCAGUGUAUGAAAUGGUUUUGCAGCAGCUGAGAAAAGCAGGACAGAUAAAGAAACAUGAAGAAUUGGUAGAGAAAAUGGUUAUUAGAGAUAUGCAUGGGUGCCUAUUUCAAAUUUUAUCACAAAAACCGCCGGUUACCUUGUAUAUCUACACAUAAACCCCCGCCUUUCUGAUAUUGCAGGCACAGACAUUUCGUGUCACUAAUUGGUUUACUGCGCGAAGGGGAAAAUGAAAUGCUCCUGGUUUAUUUGAUCAAUACAUAUUGUGUUGGAACUGCAAGGGGGCAUUUUGUACAAAAUUUAAUAUUACUUCAUAUUUUUAUUGGUGCAGCAAGAUGGAUGCCUUAUCUGCACAUUACUAAAGCUAAUAACACUUUUUAUUUACAGGGAUGUUAAGCCUAUGUACUAAUUUGUUGGAUGAUAACUGUGCUGCCAUCACUCGGCCUUCAGGCUUAAGGUAACAGAUUUCAUAUACUAUCUAUACAUACAAUUAUUACAGUUAGCAACUGUUGUCCCAUAAGUGAGUUGUUCAGAAUUUAUUAAAAAAACUGCUAACUUGUAUACCCUGUCCUAAAUAAAGUGCAUGUUCAAGAAUCAUCAAGAACACAAGUAAUGUGUAUAGAUAAAUCCCAAAUGUGUUGUCUUUGUUCUGGAAUAAAUUAGAGUAAUUGUAUUUCAUAUACUCCUUGUCAUCAUAUUGUUGUUUAUAAAAUAUUGGCGGCCAGUAUAUGUAUCCCCCCAAAUUAGUUCAUGCUCAAACCCCAUAAAAAACUUUCUAAAGAAUUUAGUGUCUGCACAUUUGGAUCACACAAAUAUUUAUAAAAAUAAAAUUAUUUUAAUCUUCUCUUUAUAACUGAGUGGUUUAUUUGCUUUAAUAUUUGCUUUAGAACAUGUUUUAUUGUACAUCGUAGAGGGAACUAUAUUUAAUUGUAUAUUGCAACCCCCCCCCUCCCCC
This is an RNA transcript of Daucus carota subsp. sativus, 2447 nucleotides long. It is a transcript of the gene named pentatricopeptide repeat-containing protein At1g20300, mitochondrial-like, with no coding region annotated. Lineage: Eukaryota; Viridiplantae; Streptophyta; Magnoliopsida; Apiales; Apiaceae. The record is from RefSeq and is a predicted model, not a curated record. The transcript has 4 exons.